UACGAGUGCCUCAAGCGUUAUCCGGAAUCAUUGGGCGUAAAGGAUGUGUAGGUGGUUGUGUUAGUCUUCUGUUAAAUUCUUCGGCUUAACCGGGGGCAUGCAGAGGAAACGGCACGACUAGAGGAUGCGAGGGGUCUGCGGAACUCAUAGUGUAGCGGUGAAAUGCGUUGAUAUUAUGGGGAACACCAAAAGCGAAGGCAGCAGACUGGAGCACUCCUGACACUGAAACAUGAAAGCGUGGGUCGCGAAUGGG
RNAcentral lists this ribosomal RNA (253 nucleotides) under uncultured bacterium. RNAcentral describes it as "partial 16S ribosomal RNA". It matches the Rfam family "Bacterial small subunit ribosomal RNA", at positions 524 to 776 of the family's 1533-position model. The record is from RNAcentral.